AUUGAACGCUGGCGGCAGGCCUAACACAUGCAAGUCGAGCGCGAAAGUUCUUCGGAAUGAGUAAAGCGGCGGACGGGUGAGUAAUACAUGGGAAUCUGCCUGGUAGUGGGGGACAACGUUUCGAAAGGAACGCUAAUACCGCAUACGCCCUACGGGAGAAAGCAGGGGACCUUCGGGCCUUGCGCUAUCAGAUGAGCCUA
RNAcentral lists this ribosomal RNA (200 nucleotides) under uncultured bacterium. RNAcentral describes it as "partial 16S ribosomal RNA". It matches the Rfam family "Bacterial small subunit ribosomal RNA", at positions 30 to 233 of the family's 1533-position model. The record is from RNAcentral.